Molecule: non-coding RNA, 289 nt
Organism: Pelodiscus sinensis (Chinese soft-shelled turtle)
Lineage: Eukaryota; Metazoa; Chordata; Testudines; Trionychidae
Source: RefSeq, a predicted model, not a curated record
CCAUUUCCCAUCUCACUGGCCAACCCUGAGCAGAAACCUGGGCCUUUGAACCCAAGAUAUCGGGAAAUGUCAGGGAAUGGCAGCCAAGCCCCGCAAGGAUGCAGCGAGCAGCAGAGACAGCGAGGCUGCUGAGGGGUCUCUUGUCCCUGCUGAGCGAUGGGCACCAGGGCCCAGCCGGAUGGGGAAGGACACGAGGCAACUGGGAAAGAGCAUCCGGAAGUGACCUCUGAGCAGCCCCAGGCUUAGAGCUGCCUCCCCACACCUCAGGGGGAUAUUGAUGGACCCAGAU